This 694-nucleotide long non-coding RNA is filed under the name Elaeis guineensis (African oil palm). RNAcentral's name for it is "long non-coding RNA (EGUI_LNC022779)". The record is from RNAcentral. Lineage: Eukaryota; Viridiplantae; Streptophyta; Magnoliopsida; Arecales; Arecaceae.
UUCUUGGACAUAACAUGAAGCUUUUGCUAGUUAUUAUAUGGCGAUGUCUAAUGAUUAAGUCAAUCAAUAUCCUGAUAUUAAAUAAUAAUUAUAUUUUUAAUUUUGUCCUACUAUCAUAAUUAAAACUUGAAAAGAUUAAUAAUUAAUUGAUUUAGUCAUUAGUUGGAUGGCAUGAAUCAUUUUUAGCACACUCAAAAUAAAUAAAUAAAUAAGUAAAAUAAAAGGGGAAUGUUUUUGGAUUUGAUUUGGGUAUAUAUAAGGAUGAACAUAUCAAAAAUCCUAUUCACAUUUAAUUGGUUUAUUUCUAGUCAGUCAUUAAGGCAGAGGAACUAGAAAAGUGCACUAACCAAAAUUUAGUCAUCUGUCGAAUGACUUAGACAUGGUUAUCACCCCAUAACUUCAUUCUAAAAUUUAGGACUCGAAACACAAGCUUAGGAGCUUUACAAAACACAAUUUCGUACAUUUGUUUUAUAAAGAAUAUUAAAUUGAAAUACUUCAAACUUAUGAUAGAUCCACAAUCAAUCAUAAUCCUGAACAAAUCCAAGCUACAAACUUUGCAACUAUUUGCUAAUACUAUUUAGUAACCUCAAAAAAAAAAAAAGAGAUAAUACUAUUUAGUGCGUGCAAGGCAUAUCCUUGUUCAUGAAGCAGGAAAAAAAAAAAAGAGCAGAAACUUUAGGUGUAAGAGGGAGAG